AAAAUGUAAGGCUAUUGGGUCCUGCAGCCUGACCCAAGAAGCUAAGGACACUAGGACCUUAGAAGAGGUAGUGUGCUUUCGUUCACGGAGUUGAGAGCUUUCCCUUCAUCCGAUUAGAUUUUCGUUUUGGACGGAUCCUGUUGAACUUGCUUCUGUGCAAGAGUACUGUUUUGGGGUUUCCUCUAAAGAGUGUUGUGCUUGUAACCACUAAGAUGAAAAAGAGGUGUCUGUGGAGCAAGCAUUGGAAGAAGGUGAUGAUGCAGCUUAGUAUGUCUAGG
This 278-nucleotide small RNA is filed under the name Vigna angularis var. angularis. RNAcentral describes it as "Non-protein coding transcript". Lineage: Eukaryota; Viridiplantae; Streptophyta; Magnoliopsida; Fabales; Fabaceae. The record is from RNAcentral.